CUGGCGGCACUAGCGCGGUGGUCCCACCUGACCCCAUGCCGAACUCAGAAGUGAAACGCCGUAGCGCCGAUGGUAGUGUGGGGUCUCCCCAUGCGAGAGUAGGGAACUGCCAG
RNAcentral lists this ribosomal RNA (113 nucleotides) under Salmonella enterica subsp. enterica serovar Heidelberg. The record is from RNAcentral. Lineage: Bacteria; Pseudomonadati; Pseudomonadota; Gammaproteobacteria; Enterobacterales; Enterobacteriaceae. RNAcentral also lists the same sequence under 2 other names.